RNAcentral lists this ribosomal RNA (277 nucleotides) under Enterobacter hormaechei subsp. hoffmannii. Its description in RNAcentral is "partial 16S ribosomal RNA". It matches the Rfam family "Bacterial small subunit ribosomal RNA", at positions 171 to 450 of the family's 1533-position model. The record is from RNAcentral. Lineage: Bacteria; Pseudomonadati; Pseudomonadota; Gammaproteobacteria; Enterobacterales; Enterobacteriaceae.
GCAUAACGUCGCAAGACCAAAGAGGGGGACCUUCGGGCCUCUUGCCAUCGGAUGUGCCCAGAUGGGAUUAGCUAGUAGGUGGGGUAACGGCUCACCUAGGCGACGAUCCCUAGCUGGUCUGAGAGGAUGACCAGCCACACUGGAACUGAGACACGGUCCAGACUCCUACGGGAGGCAGCAGUGGGGAAUAUUGCACAAUGGGCGCAAGCCUGAUGCAGCCAUGCCGCGUGUAUGAAGAAGGCCUUCGGGUUGUAAAGUACUUUCAGCGGGGAGGAAG